GGGUGUGUAGCUCAGCUGGUAGAGCAGCGAUCUCCAAAGUCGCCGGUCGGGGGUUCAAAUCCCUCCGCACUCG
RNAcentral lists this transfer RNA (73 nucleotides) under Acinetobacter baumannii. RNAcentral's name for it is "tRNA-Trp". It matches the Rfam family "tRNA". From Rfam's summary of the family: Transfer RNA (tRNA) molecules are approximately 80 nucleotides in length. Their secondary structure includes four short double-helical elements and three loops (D, anti-codon, and T loops). Lineage: Bacteria; Pseudomonadati; Pseudomonadota; Gammaproteobacteria; Moraxellales; Moraxellaceae. The record is from RNAcentral. RNAcentral also lists the same sequence under 4 other names.